RNAcentral lists this ribosomal RNA (253 nucleotides) under uncultured bacterium. RNAcentral describes it as "partial 16S ribosomal RNA". It matches the Rfam family "Bacterial small subunit ribosomal RNA", at positions 524 to 776 of the family's 1533-position model. The record is from RNAcentral.
UACGUAGGUGGCGAGCGUUGUCCGGAUUUACUGGGCGUAAAGGGCGUGCAGGCGGUCUGUUAAGUCUAGGGUGAAAGCUCCCGGCUCAACUGGGAGAGGUCCUUGGAUACUGGCGGACUUGAGGGAGGUAGAGGAGAGUGGAAUUCCCGGUGUAGUGGUGAUAUGCGUAGAUAUCUGGAGGAACACCAGUGGCGAAGGCGGCUUCCUGGCCUGCAACUGACGCUGAGACGCGAAAGCGUGGGGAGCGAACCGG